Molecule: non-coding RNA, 73 nt
Organism: Parelaphostrongylus tenuis
Lineage: Eukaryota; Metazoa; Nematoda; Chromadorea; Rhabditida; Metastrongylidae
Source: the annotation of a GenBank genome assembly
ACCUCGGUGGUGUAGUGGUAUACCACGCGUCCCCGGUGUGGAUGAAACCCGGGUUCGAUUCCCUACUGAGGCC